This 2235-nucleotide ribosomal RNA is filed under the name Salmonella enterica subsp. enterica serovar Heidelberg. RNAcentral's name for it is "bacterial LSU rRNA". It matches the Rfam family "Bacterial large subunit ribosomal RNA", at positions 594 to 2812 of the family's 2925-position model. The record is from RNAcentral. RNAcentral also lists the same sequence under 1 other name. Lineage: Bacteria; Pseudomonadati; Pseudomonadota; Gammaproteobacteria; Enterobacterales; Enterobacteriaceae.
UGACUGCGUACCUUUUGUAUAAUGGGUCAGCGACUUAUAUUCUGUAGCAAGGUUAACCGAAUAGGGGAGCCGGAGGGAAACCGAGUCUUAAUUGGGCGUUAAGUUGCAGGGUAUAGACCCGAAACCCGGUGAUCUAGCCAUGGGCAGGUUGAAGGUUGGGUAACACUAACUGGAGGACCGAACCGACUAAUGUUGAAAAAUUAGCGGAUGACCUGUGGCUGGGGGUGAAAGGCCAAUCAAACCGGGAGAUAGCUGGUUCUCCCCGAAAGCUAUUUAGGUAGCGCCUCGUGAAUUCAUCUCCGGGGGUAGAGCACUGUUUCGGCUAGGGGGCCAUCCCGGCUUACCAACCCGAUGCAAACUGCGAAUACCGGAGAAUGUUAUCACGGGAGACACACGGCGGGUGCUAACGUCCGUCGUGAAGAGGGAAACAACCCAGACCGCCAGCUAAGGUCCCAAAGUCAUGGUUAAGUGGGAAACGAUGUGGGAAGGCCCAGACAGCCAGGAUGUUGGCUUAGAAGCAGCCAUCAUUUAAAGAAAGCGUAAUAGCUCACUGGUCGAGUCGGCCUGCGCGGAAGAUGUAACGGGGCUAAACCAUGCACCGAAGCUGCGGCAGCGACACUCAGGUGUUGUUGGGUAGGGGAGCGUUCUGUAAGCCUGCGAAGGUGGCCUGUGAGGGUUGCUGGAGGUAUCAGAAGUGCGAAUGCUGACAUAAGUAACGAUAAAGCGGGUGAAAAGCCCGCUCGCCGGAAGACCAAGGGUUCCUGUCCAACGUUAAUCGGGGCAGGGUGAGUCGACCCCUAAGGCGAGGCCGAAAGGCGUAGUCGAUGGGAAACGGGUUAAUAUUCCCGUACUUGGUGUUACUGCGAAGGGGGGACGGAGAAGGCUAUGUUGGCCGGGCGACGGUUGUCCCGGUUUAAGCGUGUAGGUGUGUGUUCCAGGUAAAUCCGGUUCACUUUAACACUGAGGCGUGACGACGAGGCACUACGGUGCUGAAGCAACAAAUGCCCUGCUUCCAGGAAAAGCCUCUAAGCAUCAGGUAACAUCAAAUCGUACCCCAAACCGACACAGGUGGUCAGGUAGAGAAUACCAAGGCGCUUGAGAGAACUCGGGUGAAGGAACUAGGCAAAAUGGUGCCGUAACUUCGGGAGAAGGCACGCUGACACGUAGGUGAAGUGAUUUACUCAUGGAGCUGAAGUCAGUCGAAGAUACCAGCUGGCUGCAACUGUUUAUUAAAAACACAGCACUGUGCAAACACGAAAGUGGACGUAUACGGUGUGACGCCUGCCCGGUGCCGGAAGGUUAAUUGAUGGGGUCAGCGCAAGCGAAGCUCCUGAUCGAAGCCCCGGUAAACGGCGGCCGUAACUAUAACGGUCCUAAGGUAGCGAAAUUCCUUGUCGGGUAAGUUCCGACCUGCACGAAUGGCGUAAUGAUGGCCAGGCUGUCUCCACCCGAGACUCAGUGAAAUUGAACUCGCUGUGAAGAUGCAGUGUACCCGCGGCAAGACGGAAAGACCCCGUGAACCUUUACUAUAGCUUGACACUGAACAUUGAGCCUUGAUGUGUAGGAUAGGUGGGAGGCUUUGAAGUGUGGACGCCAGUCUGCAUGGAGCCGGCCUUGAAAUACCACCCUUUAAUGUUUGAUGUUCUAACGUGGACCCGUGAUCCGGGUUGCGGACAGUGUCUGGUGGGUAGUUUGACUGGGGCGGUCUCCUCCUAAAGAGUAACGGAGGAGCACGAAGGUUGGCUAAUCCUGGUCGGACAUCAGGAGGUUAGUGCAAUGGCAUAAGCCAGCUUGACUGCGAGCGUGACGGCGCGAGCAGGUGCGAAAGCAGGUCAUAGUGAUCCGGUGGUUCUGAAUGGAAGGGCCAUCGCUCAACGGAUAAAAGGUACUCCGGGGAUAACAGGCUGAUACCGCCCAAGAGUUCAUAUCGACGGCGGUGUUUGGCACCUCGAUGUCGGCUCAUCACAUCCUGGGGCUGAAGUAGGUCCCAAGGGUAUGGCUGUUCGCCAUUUAAAGUGGUACGCGAGCUGGGUUUAGAACGUCGUGAGACAGUUCGGUCCCUAUCUGCCGUGGGCGCUGGAGAACUGAGGGGGGCUGCUCCUAGUACGAGAGGACCGGAGUGGACGCAUCACUGGUGUUCGGGUUGUCAUGCCAAUGGCACUGCCCGGUAGCUAAAUGCGGAAGAGAUAAGUGCUGAAAGCAUCUAAGCACGAAACUUGCCCCGAGAUGAGUUCU